This 460-nucleotide ribosomal RNA is filed under the name uncultured bacterium. RNAcentral's name for it is "partial 16S ribosomal RNA". It matches the Rfam family "Bacterial small subunit ribosomal RNA", at positions 338 to 795 of the family's 1533-position model. The record is from RNAcentral.
CCUACGGGGGACAGCAGUGAGGAAUAUUGGUCAAUGGCCGAGAGUCUGAACCAGCCAAGUCGCGUGAAGGAAGACUGCCCUAUGGGUUGUAAACCUCUUUUGUAUGGGAGUAAAACAGGGUAUGCAUACCCUCUUGUAUGUACCAUAUGAAUAAGGAUCGGCUAACUCCGUGCCAGCAGCCGCGGUAAUACGGAGGAUUCAAGCGUUAUCCGGAUUUAUUGGGUUUAAAGGGUGCGUAGGCGGUGCGAUAAGUUAGAGGUGAAAUCCCGGGGCGCAACUCCGGCACUGCCUCUGAAACUGUCGGGCUAGAGUGCAGGAGCGGUAGGCGGAAUGUAUGGUGUAGCGGUGAAAUGCAUAGAGAUCAUACAGAACACCGAUUGCGAAGGCAGCUUACCGAACUGCGACUGACGUUGAGGCACGAAAGCGUGGGGAGCAAACAGGAUUAGAUACCCUUGUAGUC